RNAcentral lists this non-coding RNA (346 nucleotides) under Pongo abelii (Sumatran orangutan). Lineage: Eukaryota; Metazoa; Chordata; Mammalia; Primates; Hominidae. The record is from RNAcentral.
AGAAAAAAAGUAUGCUGAGAUUGCUAAGAUCUACACCUAAUGAGGAGGUGACUAUCAUGAAGGUCUGGUGGUGAAGAUCUUGCAAGAAGGUGCCUUGUUUGAGAUCUUUCAAGGAAACACAGUACUCAAUGAAUGUGGUUUGGUGUACAGUUGUGCCUUGAGCAACAUGGAUUUGAACUGCAUGGGGUCACUUAAAUGUGGAUUUUCUUAUGACUCUGCUGCCCUUGAGACAGCAAGAUCAACCCCCCUCCUCCUCAGCCAACUCAACAUGAAGACAAUGAAGAUUAAGACCUUUAUGAUGAUCCACUUCCACUUAAUGAAUAAUAAAUAUAUUUUGUCUUCUUUA